GGGAUUUGGCUUAUUGGCACCACAUGUGUUUUUUAUUGAACAAAUUUCUUUGGUGGCGGGAGCAAUCCUACCGCCAGAGGUUAUAACUAAACCAAACUUUUUAUUUACAGUCAAACUUGAUUUAUUAUUACAAUAGUCAAAACUUUCAACAACGGAUCUCUUGGUUCUCGCAUCGAUGAAGAACGCAGCGAAAUGCGAUACGUAAUAUGAAUUGCAGAUAUUCGUGAAUCAUCGAAUCUUUGAACGCACAUUGCGCCCUUUGGUAUUCCAAAGGGCAUGCCUGUUUGAGCGUCAUUUCUCCCUCAAACCCCCGGGUUUGGUGUUGAGCAAUACGCUAGGUUUGUUUGAAAGAAUUUAACGUGGAAACUUAUUUUAAGCGACUUAGGUUUAUCCAAAACGCUUAUUUUGCUAGUGGCCACCACAAUUUAUUUCAUAACUUUGACCUCAAAUCAGGUAGGACUACCCGCUGAACUUAAGCAUAUCAAAAGCCGGAGGAA
This 497-nucleotide ribosomal RNA is filed under the name Candida tropicalis. Its description in RNAcentral is "eukaryotic LSU rRNA". The stretch from base 141 to 294 matches the Rfam family "5.8S ribosomal RNA". The record is from RNAcentral. Lineage: Eukaryota; Fungi; Ascomycota; Pichiomycetes; Serinales; Debaryomycetaceae.